AAUCCAAGCGUGUCAGGCUACAAACCAGGCUAAACACCUUUAUGGAAAUGGCCAUCAAUCAGUCUAUGAGCACUGUGCAAAGCCUGUGCCAACCUUCACUCCCUACAGUGCAUUUCCCACUACUGUCAAAACAAACCCCAGUGAGAAAAUCCUUGGCUUGCAGGACGGUAACUGAAUCCACUGUGCCAUCCUGCCAACAGUCAGGCAGACUGAAGAGGAAAUGCUUCCAGGACAAACAACCACUCAGCUCUCCUCUCGUCGGUUAGGCAGCGGCUCUCUGCUAAUUGUUUUUGAGAGGGUCGCUCAUGAGUUUGUCUCAAAUGCAUUAGGAAGCAAAGACACACCAAUAAUCAAAAUAUCUUUAUGCAGACACAAAAUUCCAAUCUGCAACAAAAGGCAGGAAGAAACAGAGGAAAGAGAAAAGAGACCCUGCAGAAAUCCAACAACUUUAUCAGACAGUUCAUCUUAAGAACAUCAGUCUCUUCACGUGCAUCAGUUUAAGGAAUGUGAUCGCGAAGAACUCCUAAAAUCUGUCCCAGCCUUUCAGAGGAAACGUCCACUGGCUUAAAACUAACAAAAGGUCACAUUUUGUGGGUUUGUGUUCCACAAAUCCAGUGUGUGUACUAAACGUUUGUGAGCGUUCAGACGAGUGUA
This is a long non-coding RNA of Oreochromis niloticus (Nile tilapia), 654 nucleotides long. RefSeq lists it as uncharacterized. The record is from RefSeq and is a predicted model, not a curated record. NCBI's taxonomy places the organism in Eukaryota, Metazoa, Chordata, Actinopteri, Cichliformes, Cichlidae. The transcript has 4 exons.